Molecule: long non-coding RNA, 245 nt
Organism: Rhipicephalus sanguineus (brown dog tick)
Lineage: Eukaryota; Metazoa; Arthropoda; Arachnida; Ixodida; Ixodidae
Exons: 3
Source: RefSeq, a predicted model, not a curated record
CAGUUUACUGCAAGCGAGUUGCCGUCCCUGCUGCUGAGACUGCCCCCCUAGUGUGGAAGCCGCUUCGCCAAGCACACCCACAAGAAGGCCCACACCACCGUCACAGGUUUCACCAAGUGAUGCUGAGCCUGGUCCGAGCGGCCUCCAAUUUUCCAAGGAGGGCAGCAGCGCGGAGCAGAUGCAAGAAACGCCAAAAAAGUGGGCGAAGAAAACGCAGCUCUGUGCACACCCUUCGCACCAAAAAG